Molecule: unclassified non-coding RNA, 311 nt
Filed under: uncultured Hebeloma
Lineage: Eukaryota; Fungi; Basidiomycota; Agaricomycetes; Agaricales; Cortinariaceae
Description: sequence contains ITS2
Rfam family: 5.8S ribosomal RNA (bases 1-52)
Source: RNAcentral
AACGCACCUUGCGCUCCUUGGUAUUCCGAGGAGCAUGCCUGUUUGAGUGUCAUUAAAUUCUCAACCUUUGUUAGCUUUUGCUGAUAAUGGUUUGGAUAUGGGGGUCUAUUUUGCCGGCUUCUUCACAGAUAGUCAGCUCCCCUUAAAUGCAUUAGCCGGUGCCCAGCGUGGACUGUCUAUUGGUGUGAUAAUUAUCUACGCCAUGGAUGUCUGCAAUUAUAUGGGUUUUCACUGCUUCUAACCGUCUGUUUAUUCAGACAAUUAUAUGACAAUUUGACCUCAAAUCAGGUAGGACUACCCGCUGAACUUAA